Eptesicus fuscus (big brown bat) is the source of this 4217-nucleotide RNA transcript. It is a transcript of the gene named solute carrier family 30 member 6, with no coding region annotated. The record is from RefSeq and is a predicted model, not a curated record. The transcript is spliced from 16 exons. NCBI's taxonomy places the organism in Eukaryota, Metazoa, Chordata, Mammalia, Chiroptera, Vespertilionidae.
CACCAGCUCCCAGAGCGUCUUCCGGCGGGAGCGGUGCCGCUCCUUACCAUGGGGACAAUUCAUCUCUUUCGAAAACCACAAAGAUCUUUUUUUGGAAAGUUAUUACAGGAAUUUGGACUUGUAGCAGCUGACAGAAGGUCCUGGAAGAUAUUGCUCUUUGGUGCAAUAAACUUAACAUGUACUGGCUUCCUGCUUAUGUGGUGCAGUUCCACUAAUAGUAUAGCUUUAACUGCCUAUACUUACCUGACCAUUUUUGAUCUAUUUAGUUUAAUGACAUGUUUAAUAAGUUACUGGGUAAUGAUGAGGAAACCCAGCCCUGUCUAUUCAUUUGGAUUUGAAAGAUUAGAAGUCCUGGCUGUGUUUGCCUCCACAGUCUUGGCACAGUUGGGAGCUCUCUUUAUAUUAAAAGAAAGUGUAGAACGCUUUUUGGAGCAGCCCGAGAUACACACGGGAAGAUUAUUAGUUGGUACUUUUGUGGCUCUUUCAUUCAACCUAUUCACGAUGCUUUCUAUUCGGAAUAAACCUUUUGCUUAUGUCUCAGAAGCUGCCAGUACAAGUUGGCUUCAAGAGCAUGUUGCAGAUCUUAGUCGAAGCGUGUGUGGAAUUAUUCCAGGACUUAGCAGUGUCUUCCUUCCCCGAAUGAAUCCAUUUGUUUUGAUUGAUCUUGCAGGAGCAUUUGCUCUUUGUAUUACGUAUAUGCUAAUUGAAAUUAAUAAUUAUUUUGCUGUAGACACUGCCUCUGCCAUAGCAAUUGCUCUGAUGACAUUUGGCACUAUGUAUCCCAUGAGCGUGUACAGUGGAAAAGUAUUACUCCAGACAACGCCACCCCAUGUUAUUGGUCAGUUGGACAAACUUCUCAGAGAGGUAUCCACCUUGGAUGGAGUUUUGGAAGUACGAAAUGAGCAUUUUUGGACCCUAGGUUUUGGCUCAUUGGCUGGAUCAGUGCAUGUAAGAAUUCGCCGAGAUGCAAAUGAACAAAUGGUUCUUGCUCAUGUGACCAACAGGCUGUACACUCUAGUGUCUACGCUGACUGUUCAAAUUUUCAAGGAUGACUGGAUAAGGCCCUCUUUACCAUCGGGGCCUGUUGCAGCCAAUGUCCUAAAUUUUUCAGAUCAUCACAUAAUACCCAUGCCUCCUUUAAAGGGCAUUGAUGAGUCGAACCCUGUCACAUCAACUCCAACUAAACCUAGUAGUCCACCUCCAGAAUUUUCAUUUAACACUCCUGGAAAAAAUGUGAACCCGGUUAUUCUUCUAAACACACAAACAAGACCUUAUGGUUUGGGACUUAAUCAUGGACACAUACCUUAUAGCAGCAUGGUUAAUCAAGGACUUGGAUUUCCAGGAAUUGGAGCAACCCAAGGAUUCAGGACUGGUUUUACAAAUAUACCAAGUAGAUAUGGAACUAACAAUAGAACUGGACAACCAAGACCAUGACAUACUGUGAUUUAAUUUAUUUUAUGAGGAAUAUUGACUCCUUGACUUCCAAUUUACUUAGUAAUCCAACUUUGCAUUGACUGUUCAAUCAUUUGUUGUAAAUGUUAGAGAAUAGUAGGCUAGGUCACAUUAUAUGAAACCAAUGAAACUAUAUUUUUAUAAGAUACAGUUAGAAUAGUGAAAAACUUCUAAAUGUUGUAGGCUUUAAAUAGGCUUCCUUUAGAAAGUGUAUUUCUCUAAAUUUGAAUUUUUGGUUUUGAAGUUGACUACAGUGUGAUAAGAGAUUACCUUUACAAGAGAACCAUUUGAUGGAGUAGAUCUGUCACAUUAUAUUGUCUUCAGUGAAAUUUAUAAACCUGCGUCUUGAAUAAUGAUACACAUUUUAAGAAAGGAUAAAAAUAUCCAUCCUAAAAGUAAAAAAGUCCUCUUUUAUGGCUUUUCCAAACUUAAUUGCUACAUUUUCCUUUGAGGUCCUCUGAAUUAUGUCUUGCAAAGUAAAAGCAAACAUUUUUAUCAGAAAUUUUAGAAUAUAUUCUACUACCUAUUUUUUGUUUUUUUAAUAUAUUUUUAUUGAUUUCAGAGAGGGAGAGAGAGUUAGUCAGUGAUGAGAGAAUCAUCGAUUGGCCGUCUCCUGCACUGGGGAUCGAGCCCACAAUCCGGGCAUGUGCCCCUGACUGGAAUCGAACCUGGGACCUGCAUUCUGCAGGUUGACACUCUAUCCACUGAGCCAAACUGGCUAGGGCAUACUACCUAAUUGUUGUCAUUUAAAAAUUUCAGUACAUUUGUAAAUAGUCCAUGGUUCUCAAAGUGUUUUAUUCUGGUUAAUAAGUACCAAAUCCUUUGGUGAUGUGCAAUAAAGGAAUUCCAGUUUUCUCUCUUACACAUAAUCAGAUUCUGACAUAAUGAUGGAAUUUAUCUUUUUUGUAACUUUCAUUGGUUGACUUAAUUUCUUAUUUUUUAAAAACAUAUCAAAUACGUUACCAAAAUAUAUGGAAUUCAACAUACGUUAUAAUACGGGAUUUGAUAUCUUUUCAAAGUUGCAGUUUGAGAUUAUAUUAUAAAUUUUUACCAAAAGAUAAUGGAUCUUAGAUUAUAGAGUACAGUAUUUUCAGACUUGCUACAGGCAGUUUUUAACUUGUUUUGAUUACUUUCCAAGUGCAAAUGUUAAGAACUUUCUAAUGUGGCCAAUAUUACAUAUAAAAAAAUAUAACAAGCAGCAAUUACCUGAGGUUUUCUCAUUAUAUCAUGAGUUUUAUGGUUAGGGUUUUAAAAAGGGAUUUUAAGAGUGGAUUCAACUUUUCUGGAAUCCAGUGACUCCUGGAUAUUUGUCACUUUUCCAGCCAUCACCCAGCUAUCUAGAGAAGAUUUCUGUUCCUGUAGAAUUUGCAACAGUUUCUUCAAUCAACUCAUCCUCUUUUAAAUAUGAGCAACACCUAUUUCUUCACUGUGGAAUAACAGACAUCUAAGAAGCCAUCUCUAUCACAAGUAGUUAAUCCUGUGAUAAUGCAUGACCAUGUCCUAAAUACCCUUUGCUUGCUGAGGAGUUGGUCAUUGUCUUGGCAUCUGUGACCCUGUUCAGGCAUUUUACCUACUGAAGAAAUAGAGUCCACACUACUUCGACUGUUGGUGAAAAGGAAACUUUGUCAAAUGUAAUAAGGCAACCUGUUUCUUGUCCUUUGUCUUAUGUUCUCCAACUAUUACUAUUGCCUGUUAUUGGUCUACCAUUACAGGGUGGUUUUUCUUCCAUUGAUCUCAUCUAAAUGUGAAUUCGGGUCUUGCAUGAAAUCUGAAGAACUGCCAUGUACUGAGGGAUGGUUCAGAUGUAUGUGCUGCCACCAUAUGCACAUCUCCAUCCCUAUGGGAUUUUCAAAGUGUCCAGGUGCUGAACACAGCUGUGUGUGAGAUUAAAUGCCUACUUCCUCAACACCCACUCAGGAGCAACAUCUUUGCAGUUGUCCUACCGAAGGUGCUUUCAUGCCAGCCUACACUAUUUGAGAAGUUGCCCGUGGGUUCUGAAGGAAUUGGCUCUACUUGCUGAACUUCAGUACUGCCAACUGCUAUAGGUGACUUUGGUCCUUGCAUUAUUAUAUAACGUCUCAUUUGCCAAGCUCUGGCUAGCUUCCGGAUAUGAAAUCAAGAAAUUUGGCCAGCAUAGGCCUUUAGACAGUAGCCUUACUGUAAAUCUUGCCAAGGAGUUACUUGAAGCUUAAAAGAAAAAAAAAAAGGAAGUUCAAAAUAAAUACUUGCCCCAUGGUUUGUGAUUUAAGAGCAAGCUUCAUGGAGUAUGAUGAACCCUGUUUGAGAAAUCACUGUUUGUAAUGGAAAAAACAUUGGACUGGAGGACAAGAAUUGGAUUCCAAAACUGAUACUGCCACUAUGAAAUGGAAGAUUGCUUAAAAAUUGAAGUGCGAAAGAUGCUAUUCAAUAGCAGACCUUGGAGAUGCUGCGGGUGUGGUUCUCUUAGGGGCAGAAAUAGAAUAGUGGAGACUAGCUAUAAUUAUAAGAAAUAUUAAUCACGCUCUGUUAACCGUGAUGGCUCUGUUCUGAUUAGGGAAAGCACAUUCUAACCCGGCUGAGAGUUGUACGCCCCAGGACAUGGGAAUUAACAUCGGAAUGCAGUCCAUUCUCCUUUUCCAAGAACCACCUAUCAUCCUGGAAAGAUCAGCAACCUUGUUGCUGAAGCAAUCUGGUCCCUUUGCAACCCCCACCCCUCAUUGCCCGUAACCUUGCCUACUUCCCCAUGCUUCUAAUUCCUACUCUCCUAUGUAAUCUUUGUCCUUCUA